AAUAUUAGUUAAUAUAAAGACUUUAAUAUAAUUUAAAUUUAACCACGACCCAAAGCUCACAACCCCACAAUUUACAAAUCAAAUUCUAAGUCACUCUCUCACAGCCCUCAAUCAUCCUUUCCAAAUGAUUUGUGUUACAACCAGCACCCAGUUCGUCUUUAUCUUAUCAUAGUCCAAUAGCACGUCGCAUUGUUGGUGACUAAGUAGCCCAACUUAUCACCUCGUCAGCUAGUAGCCAAGCUCGCGGCCACCAUAAUUGGUAGCUAAGACGUAUCAUUGCUAUCAUAAAGUUGCAUGUUCUAUCAUAAACAAUACGUCAUACACCUAUGAUGGACAUGUCAUAUAUCUUUCAAUUAACAAAUAGAUAUGUCACAAACUGUCAUAUCGGAUUUAUGUGAUUCAUGAAAUCGACUUAUCAUAUACUUUUGAAUAGUCAAAUUUCGAGAUAUUUAGAGUUUCAAUAUGUGAGAUCUAUGUUAUUCCCUCCCCCCAAGCCCCCCAGUGCUCACAACCCACUCGUCGGUGUUAUGUCAUUCUCCCACAAGAAAUCCCUAUUCAAACUUAGUGUUGCAUUCUUAUCCAUAAUGAAAUUUUUUUUGUUCAUAGGAAGGGAAAGUGGUCCCUAGUCCCCUGUAGUUGGUGGAUAGUGAUAUUGCAUAUUAAUUUAUUCGCAAUGUGAUAAAUAUGCAAAUGAAUUUUCAAAAUCUAGGAUGUAAUUUUAUAUUUGUCUUUAUUUUUGUAUAUAUUGUAUUUAUUUUUUUCUAUUGCAAAAUAUCCCAAGUUGUAACAAAUCGAAUACGACAUUAUUAUUAUUACCAUACUACUCAUUUUUUGCACGAUCUCUUUCAUAUAUGAUUUCAAAAUAGAUAAACGAGGAUGAUUUUGAUUUUCUUUUUUAAGUUUUUGUUAUUCAUCUUACAAAUGGAGAAUUUGAUUUUCAUAUAAUAAAGUUGGUUACUUUUCUGUUACUGAAGAAUGGGGAAUCUUAAAAAAUGAGGAUUUUAAUAUCUUAUUUUCUAACCAAAAACAAAGAAUCUUCAUACAUUUUUUUUUUCAAUUACAUUCAAUUAUGUAGAAAAUAAAAAAAAAAAUUGAGAGGCAAAUUGGCAAUGAUGUAUUGGAAUUUUUUUAAAAAACUAUAAAGAUGUAGAGUAGUGCCACACUGCCACACAUCCAAAAAUUUUCAUCCAAAAUGUUACACAUCCUAAAUUUUUUAUCCUAUAAAAUUAUCUCAAAUAAUUUAGCAUUCAUCAAUUGAUUUAUGAAAAAAUAUGAUUCAUUCACUUGAAUCUUGUAAAGGAUUACCAAUCACAACACAUCAUUUGGGAUGAAAUUGAAAUAAAAAAAAUUUAAAAUACCU
RNAcentral lists this long non-coding RNA (1360 nucleotides) under Citrus x clementina. RNAcentral's name for it is "Citrus clementina (C. clementina) long non-coding RNA (CCLE_LNC001251)". Lineage: Eukaryota; Viridiplantae; Streptophyta; Magnoliopsida; Sapindales; Rutaceae. The record is from RNAcentral.